This 467-nucleotide ribosomal RNA is filed under the name uncultured bacterium. RNAcentral describes it as "bacterial SSU rRNA". It matches the Rfam family "Bacterial small subunit ribosomal RNA", at positions 61 to 507 of the family's 1533-position model. The record is from RNAcentral.
AUUGAAGGAGCUUGCUCCUAGAUUAGAUAAACAUUUGAGUGAGUGGCGGACGGUGAGUAACACGUGGGUAACCUGCCCUAAAGUGGGGGAUAACAUUUGGAAACAGAUGCUAAUACCGCAUAAAACCUAACACCGCAUGGUGUAGGGUUGAAAGAUGGUUUCGGCUAUCACUUUAGGAUGGACCCGCGGUGCAUUAGUUAGUUGGUGAGGUAAAGGCUCACCAAGACCGUGAUGCAUAGCCGACCUGAGAGGGUAAUCGGCCACACUGGGACUGAGACACGGCCCAGACUCCUACGGGAGGCAGCAGUAGGGAAUCUUCCACAAUGGACGAAAGUCUGAUGGAGCAACGCCGCGUGAGUGAAGAAGGUUUUCGGAUCAUAAAACUCUGUUGUUGGAGAAGAAUGUAUCUGAUAGUAACUGAUCAGGUAGUGACGGUAUCCAACCAGAAAGCCACGGCUAACUACGUG